AUCUCGGUGGUGUAGUGGCAGAGCACGCGUCCACGAAAAGGAUGAAAUGCGGGUUCGAAUCUCGCCUGAGGCC
Molecule: non-coding RNA, 73 nt
Organism: Parelaphostrongylus tenuis
Lineage: Eukaryota; Metazoa; Nematoda; Chromadorea; Rhabditida; Metastrongylidae
Source: the annotation of a GenBank genome assembly